GUGUGACCCCAGGAUGGGCGGGAUGACCCGCUGAGUUUAAGCAUAUCAAUAAGCGGAGGAGAGGAAACUUACGAGGAUUCCCCUA
RNAcentral lists this ribosomal RNA (85 nucleotides) under Disa bracteata. RNAcentral's name for it is "partial 25S ribosomal RNA". It matches the Rfam family "Eukaryotic large subunit ribosomal RNA", at positions 1 to 82 of the family's 3401-position model. Lineage: Eukaryota; Viridiplantae; Streptophyta; Magnoliopsida; Asparagales; Orchidaceae. The record is from RNAcentral.